This 68-nucleotide transfer RNA is filed under the name Bursa rhodostoma. RNAcentral's name for it is "tRNA-Phe". It matches the Rfam family "tRNA". From Rfam's summary of the family: Transfer RNA (tRNA) molecules are approximately 80 nucleotides in length. The record is from RNAcentral. Lineage: Eukaryota; Metazoa; Mollusca; Gastropoda; Littorinimorpha; Bursidae.
GCUUUGAUAGCUUAAAUUUUUAGAGCAUAGCACUGAAGAUGCUAAGGUAGCAAUUAUGCUUCAAGGCA